ACUUGAUUAUUCUAACCAUAAUUUCCCCCCCUAUGUGCUUUAUUUAAGUGGAUAACAAUUACGAGUUGGGGAGAUUGCAAUUGAUGUUAAAGAGUGAUUUUGUAAUAGUUAUGAAGCUGUGGAGUUAUUUUGCGGAUGGAAGGUGGUGGAUGAAAGUACAGGCGGAAAAAAAAAAAGCUGGCACAGUAAAUGAAAGAGUGUGUAUGCAUGUGUUUUCUUCACAUGAAGACUUGGCAUAGUUUAAGUCUCCCGGUUCACUGGCAUGUGAUGGUACAUGUUUUUUUGAGAGCAAUGUUAGAUGAUAUGUUCGUUAUAUGACUAGCAGAGGUUCCCGGUCAGUCAGCUUGCGGUGCUUGCCUGAGAGGUCGACUGGCUUCGGCCAAGUAAUAAAAUAUUGUCGGAAUCUCAAGCGUGACUAUUGUCAACUCAAGAAGAGGGGCAGAGGUAAGACUAAAGUGAAUCUCAUGGAGAAUGAUAUCUUUACAAUAGUUGCGAUGGAGGUGAAUCUGGUAGUAAGGGGGAAGGAAUGAGUUAUUGACAAGGUGUUGCUUGUAGAAAUGGGACUCUUAAGUUGUAGAAAUGAAUGUAAAUCAUAUAUGCACAAUCACACAAUGAACACAAAGAUUUAUAUGGCUUAGCAAAGGUAAGAUGAUAUUUUGCUUCACUAUCAAUGGAGAAUAGGGUUAUAGUUGUUCAUGUUCAUACCUCUCUUAGACUACUUAGAGAGAAAUGACCAUUGCUAUGUAUAUGUAGGAAAGAGAUGUAUCAAAUGGUUUAUAUGUUUUGAGUGUUGCAAAUGUACAUUCACCAUUAAACAAUUAUCAAAGUUAAUACACAAGUGUUUUACAUUUGU
Macadamia integrifolia is the source of this 853-nucleotide long non-coding RNA. RefSeq lists it as uncharacterized. The transcript has 2 exons. The record is from RefSeq and is a predicted model, not a curated record. Lineage: Eukaryota; Viridiplantae; Streptophyta; Magnoliopsida; Proteales; Proteaceae.